AGAACGAACGCUGGCGGCAUGCCUAAUACAUGCAAGUCGAACGAACACUUCGGUGUUAGUGGCGCACGGGUGCGUAACGCGUGGGAAUCUGUCCUUGGGUUCGGAAUAACAGUUGGAAACGACUGCUAAUACCGGAUGAUAUCGAAAGAUCAAAGAUUUAUCGCCCAGGGAUGAGCCCGCGUAGGAUUAGCUAGUUGGUGAGGUAAAGGCUCACCAAGGCGACGAUCCUUAGCUGGUCUGAGAGGAUGAUCAGCCACACUGGGACUGAGACACGGCCCAGACUCCUACGGGAGGCAGCAGUAGGGAAUAUUGGACAAUGGGCGAAAGCCUGAUCCAGCAAUGCCGCGUGAGUGAUGAAGGCCUUAGGGUUGUAAAGCUCUUUUACCCGAGAUGAUAAUGACAGUAUCGGAGAAUAAGCCCCGGCUAACUCCGUGCCAGCAGCCGC
Molecule: ribosomal RNA, 445 nt
Filed under: uncultured soil bacterium
Lineage: Bacteria
Description: bacterial SSU rRNA
Rfam family: Bacterial small subunit ribosomal RNA
Source: RNAcentral